GAUGAACGCUAGCUACAGGCUUAACACAUGCAAGUCGAGGGGAAACGACAUCGAAAGCUUGCUUUUGAUGGGCGUCGACCGGCGCACGGGUGAGUAACGCGUAUCCAACCUGCCCAUCACUUGGGAAUAACCUUGCGAAAGUAAGACUAAUACCCAAUGACAUCCCACGAAGACAUCUGAAUGGGAUUAAAGAUUUAUCGGUGAUGGAUGGGGAUGCGUCUGAUUAGCUUGUUGGCGGGGUAACGGCCCACCAAGGCAACGAUCAGUAGGGGUUCUGAGAGGAAGGUCCCCCACAUUGGAACUGAGACACGGUCCAAACUCCUACGGGAGGCAGCAGUGAGGAAUAUUGGUCAAUGGGCGAGAGCCUGAACCAGCCAAGUAGCGUGCAGGAUGACGGCCCUAUGGGUUGUAAACUGCUUUUAUAAGGGAAUAAAGUGGGUCUCGUGAGACUUUUUGCAUGUACCUUAUGAAUAAGGACCGGCUGAUUCCGUG
This 492-nucleotide ribosomal RNA is filed under the name uncultured bacterium. RNAcentral describes it as "partial 16S ribosomal RNA". It matches the Rfam family "Bacterial small subunit ribosomal RNA", at positions 28 to 507 of the family's 1533-position model. The record is from RNAcentral.